AUUGAACGCUGGCGGCAUGCCUUACACAUGCAAGUCGAACGGCAGCACGGGAGCUUGCUCCUGGUGGCGAGUGGCGAACGGGUGAGUAAUACAUCGGAACGUACCCAGGAGUGGGGGAUAACGUAGCGAAAGUUACGCUAAUACCGCAUAUUCUGUGAGCAGGAAAGCGGGGGAUCGCAAGACCUCGCGCUCUUGGAGCGGCCGAUGUGGGAUUAGCUAGGUGGUGAGGUAAAAGCUCACCAAGGCGACGAUCCGUAGCAGGUCUGAGAGGAUGAUCUGCCACACUGGGACUGGGACACGGCCCAGACUCCUACGGGAGGCAGCAGUGGGGAAUUUUGGACAAUGGGGGCAACCCUGAUCCAGCCAUGCCGCGUGAGUGAAGAAGGCCUUCGGGUUGUAAAGCUCUUUCGGCGGGGAAGAAAUGGCAACGGCUAAUAUCCGUUGUUGAUGACGGUACCCGCAUAAGAAGCACCGGCUAACUACGUGCCAGCCGCCGCGGUAA
Molecule: ribosomal RNA, 502 nt
Filed under: uncultured bacterium
Lineage: Bacteria
Description: partial 16S ribosomal RNA
Rfam family: Bacterial small subunit ribosomal RNA
Source: RNAcentral